ACUGCACUACUUUUGUUUUUGUUUUUCUUUACGUUUGAUCCAGAUUCCUACGAUUCAUGUUUUUCUACAAUUCAAAAUGCACCCAAUUCAACGUUUGGGAAUUUCGCGCCCGGGAUGAAGUUGCAUGGGCCUACUGCAAGAAAGGCAUGCAAUGCAAGGAUGCAACGCAACACAACCCUCGUGCUCCCGACCGUGGCAGUUGGCCCCGCCCGCCAACACAACAACCGUUACGUUCCAACCCAAAGGCGCCGGCGCGCCGCGUUCUCGUGAUCGUGCAAAGUGCAAACCGGCCACGGGUCUCCGUCCCCUUUCCUUUCCACCCCGGCCGAGCCGGCCGCUGCUCGCCCCCUUGAAAUAGAGCCCAGGCCUGAGGCCACUCCCCGCCGGCGUCCCGUGCCCGACUCCAGUUUGGACGCACCCGGGAGGACCUGCUCUGCCGCCCGCCUGAGCACGCACGCCGGGGUCCGUCGCUGGCGGCGGUCCUUAAAAAACACGCGAGCUCGUUCGGCGCGCGCGGCGAGGCGAGANNNNNNNNNNNNNNNNNNNNNNNNNNNNNNNNNNNNNNNNNNNNNNNNNNNNNNNNNNNNNNNNNNNNNNNNNNNNNNNNNNNNNNNNNNNNNNNNNNNNGGUGCCAAAAGACGGAGCAGUAGCUGAGCCACCGAUCGCAGGAGCUGAAGCAGAACUCGCAGAGGACCAGUUUGCAUCCACCUUGCUCGAAGGCAAGCCACAGAGCAUGACCCCAAUUUUAUAACCCCCCCCCCCCCACACACACACACACGCACAGAGCAACCAGCCAAGGCAAGCGAGCAGAGCUCACGGGGCGCGCGCAAAGGCAGAGCCGCCGCGAGAGCUAACGGCCAGCCCGGCCCGUUGGCCACUUGGCCUCCGCGGCGCCCGUCCUGCCGAUGGCGGCGGCUCUGCAGCCACGGCGGGCGCGGCUCCUCCUUUUCCUCGGGCUGCUGCUCCACGCCCUGGCGCGUGGGGCCGUCGAGGCGGCGGCGCCGUUCCGGGCGAGGGACGUGCUGCCGCUGCUACCGCGGCGGCUGGCGUGGCAGCUCAUGGGCGCCACGGCGCACAGCGCCGUCGACCUGCUCCCGUCCUUCGUCGGCGCCGUCGCGCCCGGCGGGGCACCGGCGGCCUGGCGUGGCGCGUGCUUCGCGGAGAACGAGGCCGUCCUCAGCCUCACCCCCGGCGCCGGCGCCGGCGCGGUUGGCCGCAACGGGACCGGCGGGGGACUCCACGGCAACACCAGCUCCGGCCUCGGCGGCGCCGUCCUCCACCUCAAGGUGAGGUGCCUGUGCCCCUCACAUUGCCUCGAAUCGGCAAGCUCUUUGCUAGAGGCAGGCAGCCAGCCACUGAAAUUCCAACUCGAGGUCGUAAUGACUUAUUUCCCUUGGAUUCCUUAUUCCACCAUAACCCAGGUUCCGAAUUCCAUUUAGUUUAGCUGAAUUUCUUAUUUCUCCUCCUCAUUAACAAACACAUUGCCUUUACAUAACUGCAUGAUCUGAUUGAAUUUUGAUUGAGAGUUUGGUACUGAAGAGAGAAAAGAAUUUUUUGGAAUACUGAACUGAUUACUGCAAGAAGACAAAAGAACACACAUGUUUGGAACACGGAUAGAAUGCCCACAGAUUAUCGCACAUUAUUGGUAGCCCGGUCGGUUGCAGACAAUAUAAAGGCCAAAUUGCCAGUGUGCAUGUCCAUAUCACUCCGUCCUCUAGUGCACAAAUGUGAAGGCAUGGUUCCUAGAUUCAGCUUUCGUUUUUCUUUGGACCAGCUGUUGAACAUCGGCACUUGGUAAUUCUCACAUAUUUUUGAAGGCCAUUUAUCAGUUCUAUUACAAGUAAAAAUGACAAUCUUUAUACAAAAGUCGGCAUACUUGAUGAAUUGUUAUCUGACCAAAUGUUUCUUUCUGGAAAAAUGUAGACUGCUUCACCUGAGAGCUGGACAUGUAUGGAUCUGUAUGUGUUUGCAACUCCAUACAGGAUAGCCUGGGAUUACUAUAUGAGAUCAAAUGAAAAUCACACCUUUGAGAUUAAGGCAUGGGAGGAAGCAGCAGAACUGGAAUAUGUAUGUUUCUUCUGAAGGUUGACUUCUCUUUCUUUUACAUCAUCGUUCGGUAUCCCUCAGGAAUCCUAAUACUCAAUAUUCUGCACCAGGUAAAGCAGCAUGGCAUUGCCGUCUUUCUCAUGCCAUCUGGAAUGCUUGGGACGUUGUUAUCCUUGAUUGAUGUCGUACCCCUGUUUUCAAACACCGGUUGGGGUCAGGAUGCAAACUUGGCAUUUCUCCAGAAGCAUAUGGGAACUUCAUUUCAGAAACGUUCUCAGCCCUGGUCUGCGAAUAUAAGAAAAGAAGAUGUACAUUCGGGUGACUUUUUGGCCCUUUCAAAAAUCCGAGGACGAUGGGGUGGAUUUCAGACAUUGGAGAAAUGGGUGACCGGUGCAUUUGCUGGGCACACUGCAGUUUUCUUGAAAGAUGAGAAUGGCACCCUCUGGGUUGCAGAAUCCGGCUAUGAAAACAAAAAGGUAUAUCUAUAAAAUCUUUUAGUUCAAUGGGUAACGUAAGAAAUCAUACCUACAUGCUUUAAUAAUAACUGUAAUAAUAAAAUACAAAAACUUGAUUGAGCCUUAGCUAUGUGAUUCUGAUGCAGCAAAUCUUCGGUGAAAUCUCCUGUUUUAUCUAUGGUGAAGUGAUAUUAGACAACCAAUAACAUUUUCAACCCUUCUUUUCCCCCCUCAUUGGUUAUUUAGCUUUUGCAUAAGCAUAACCAUAAACUCUGCUGAUUGAUGUGGAUAACAGUUUUUGCCAUGCAUUUCCUAUAGAAGCGUAUAAUUGAUUUGACUGAUGAAAGGGCCACAUUAUACACCGUCUUCUUUUAUCUCACCAAGUUAGGUGGAGUAUCUAAUCUAAAACUGUAUAAUCUAACUCAAUUAGAUCUGUGCUUAUCCAAAACAAGGUGGAUGGAAGAUAUACACUUUUGAUGUUAAGUUUGGAUACAUAUUAUGUUUGAAUUAAUCCUGGGCUCAUCAUAAAUGUUAUAUCAGAGAAAGGAACUCAGAUGAUUUGUGUAUGUGAAAGAAAAUUGAACUUAUAAAUUGCAAGAACUUAGUAGGACAUGAAUUUCAUGAUCCUACAAUUUAAAGGCACUUUAUCAUAUUAAUAGUGUCAAUUUUCAAUGAUAUUUGGCAAUAAUGACAGGGUGAUGAAAUCAUUAGUAUGACUCCAUGGGAUGAAUGGUGGGGAAUGGCACUUAAAGACGAUUCAAAUCCUCAGAUAGCACUUCUGCCAUUGCAUCCAGAUGUACGGGCCAGAUUCAACGAAAGUGCUGCGUGGGAUUUUGCCAGAAGCAUGUACGGAAAACCCUAUGGAUAUCAUAAUAUGAUAUUUAGUUGGAUUGACACAAUGUCAGACAAUUAUCCGCCUCCCCUUGAUGCUAACCUGGUAUUGCUCUUUGUCUUGGGUAAAACUUAGUAAUAAGUGCUUCACUUUCUUCUUUGCAACUUGCCUUUUGCAGCUUGGAGCUACCUGCUGCAGUAUCAGUCAGUCACCAUUCAUGUUAGUUUUUUGCAUUUCCAUGUUCUGAGUGACAUGCAUACAUAUCAAAGGUGCAUGUUCAAUAUACUACCUAUCACCAUGAAAGUAGAACAGGAAGUGCUCUUAGCCUCUUAGGAAGUUAAAAAUUAAGAUUCUAAAUCUACAUGGAACUUACAAGCAUUUGGGGACCCUGCUGUAGAUUCCUAAGUGAAAAGUUUCCUAGGCAACGCCCGGUGAAAAUUUUCUCUUGGCAUCAUAAGAUGUUGUGUAUAAGACUGAACCGAGACAGAUAUAGUACAUGGUUUGCUGAAUAAGUUUGGAGUGAUAGAAAAUGUAUAAUCGAAUAGUAUGGCUUUUCUUGUUCGAAACAAGUACACUGCCCAGAUUCUGUAAUUUACAGCUGUAGGCCUUGAGGCACUAGGUUCUAAUAUAGACUGAAUUUCCCAUAAUGACCCUUUUAGUUAAAGAUUGUCUAUAUUUUUGUGUGUAUAUUUAUCCGUUUUUUCCUAUGCGUAUCCUUGCUUAGGGUACUGUAUUCCCUUAUUUGUGUUAUUGUUAUGCUGCCCUGUUCGGCUCAUCAUAGUCUGUUUCCAGGUAAUGGCUAUUAUGUCAAUGUGGACCAGAUUGCAACCACACUAUGCUUCUAACAUGUGGAACGAAGCCCUUAAUAAACGACUUGGGACCGAGGUAUAUAAUCAAUACUGUAACGUAUGACUUAAUGAACUGAUGGGGAUAUUCAGUUUUGUCUCUUAUGUAUAGUGAUGUCUGUGGAAUCCAUUUAUGUUUUAUGGUUUGGUAGUAUAUCUUUGGUAAGCAUUGUUCUGCUGCAGCUUGCUUGAACAAAUGGAAUGGUUAGGCUGUUCACUGGGGUUUGGAUCAGAGCUGACUUGUGGUUAUUCUGCCCUGAAACAGGGGCCUGUCCUGGCCAAUUGACUAUAUUCUUCUUUGAUGAAAGAUGUCUUUCUUUGGAAUUGGGAGCUACUAGUAGUUUACUUGAAUUUAAUACAAUGCAAGUUGUCAAUUGGACCAAAUUUCAGCUAACUGAAAAAAAUUAUCUCUAUGUACAUGCUUCGACGCAGAAAUUGGACCUUCACGGGAUCAUUACAGAGACCGAAAGACGUGGCUUGUCUUUCAACCAGCUGCUCACCAUACCCGAGCGAGACGACUGGGAAUACAGCGAUGGCAAAUCGACGACGUGCGUGGCCUUCAUCCUUUCGAUGUACAAGGCGGCUGGCGUGUUCGCUCCUUUCACGGAGUCGAUCCAGGUGACAGAAUUCACUGUAAGUGCUCCACCCUCCUCUCACCCUCUUCCGCAACAAGGAAACUAAUGCUGUGACUGCUGGAGCUGUUGAGUGAGUGUUCGCUCCGUGUUCAUAUCACUCAUCUGGAUUUUUUUUUUCUGUUGAAAAAGAUCCGGGACGCGUACAUGCUGAAGGUCUUCGAGGACAACCAGACGCGGCUGCCGGGGUGGUGCAACGCGGCGGCGGACAGGCUCCCCUUCUGCCAGAUCCUGGGGGAGUACAAGAUGGACCUGCCGGAGUACAACACCAUCGAGCCCUACGCCAACAUGAACGAGAACUGCCCGUCCGCGCCGCCCACCUACAGCCGCCCGGCGCGAUGCUGACGGCCGCCGUGCAAACCGUGUACUAAGUGUAAAUAGACUACGCACGCUGCGUGUGCAGUGCGGUGGUCUCGCUGUAUGUGCGGCUUUGUCCACAGUUCCUUUCUCUCACAAGUGAUUGCUCUGUGACUGAGAGCAGAGCAUAUAGUAUUAUGCAGAGGUAGUUCUCGUUCAUGUUGGCUGUUGUUCAGGCGCCGAUUCUGUCGUUCUUGGCCGCUGUAAAGUAAUUAUCUGGACGUACAGAUCAUGUGAAUAAUUGGAAUGACGAUAGUACUGAAGAGCUUUAUUUUUUCCAAAACAAAAGGAGCUUUGCGUGUUUGGACUUUAUACAUGAGUGCAAAGAUGCACAAACUAGGUACAAGAAAAUGCUUUAUAAUGUAGAUACACUGUACUGAGAUUAGCCUAUGCAUCCUAGUUACCUCAUCAGUACCAUGCUACUUUCUUCUUCAUUAACACCUUAGUUUCUUCUUCAACUCCGAUCCGGCAACACACACUUACACCGCCAUCCUUCUCUAUCUCCAGCACCGUGGAUGAUUCCAUGCUAACCAUAGCCACGUGGCAUGCCAAUCUUCCCCGCCCUUCGCAGUUGGAUACGCCCCCACUCUCUUGCCACCGAUUAGCACUGUAUCCGGUAGUCUCUCAAUUCGCAAAGCCACCGCCGGUAUUAAGGUAAAUUCCAGUUCCAAGCCUUAUAUUCCCUAACUCUAAUCAUAAUUCUUUUCAAAACCUUGUGACUUGAGUAGGGAAGAUGCAAGUCGCACCUGCGCGCGGAUUUGUGGAGUAAAUUCAAAAGGGAACUUAAGGCAUUAGUUAGGGGUAUUUUCAUCAAUUAAAAGUUUAAAACAGAGCAUUGAUUCAAGUGCUUGAGGAAAACACAGCCAACAAUAAAUGGAUGGGAAAUGCUUCGAAUACAACCAUUUGAAUUCAAGCUACAACUAACCAUCCACUGUAUUAAUUCUCCUAUAAAUUUACUGUAAAUUAAUCCCCAAUCCCCCUCCGACCUCUUUCAAUUUACUCCCUCCGUCCAAGAAAGAAUGCAACUCAGCAUCCUUCACACAAACCAAUAAAUAUGUAAAAAGACGCAUGUACCCCUACUAACUUAUGAAUGUCACCACAAGAAGUUACUAGAGAAUUCUAGCUGCGCUUUUAUUUUAUCUGGAGGGCCCAAACCACAUCAGUCAAUAAUAGUGUGUGGCUGCCCAUACGCUAGCACAAUUGAAACUGCUACGUGGCUCUCACACUGCUAGCCAUUUUUUAAUGAGUCCAUGCAUUAAUGGGCCCCACAUUAGCUUGUGCAUGCUAGCUAGAGUUGCAUUUUUUCUUAAACAAUUUUUAAAUCGUAGAAUUGUAUUUUUUUCGGGACGGAGGUACUACUUAAACAUUUUAAAUUGUAGUUCCAUGAAACCAGGGCAACUGCUAACUUCACUGUUUUGCAUGCAGUUCGGUUUUUCAUUGGACGGGAGAGACGUGCGCGCGGAGCUGCAGGCCCAGCGCCCCAGCGUCAGUGCGUCACUUCUACACGUGUCCUGCUCCACGUCUCCACUCCCCCAGAGGCCCAGACGGCAGAGAGCGAGGCAGCCGGGAGCCCCGGGAUCGAGAGUGCACGCACAAGGCUCUCCCGACCGGUCGACGAAACCCGCCGUAGAUUUCCUAUAACCGCCUCCCUCGACGUUGCGACGACGCGCGCGACCGCCGAUCACCACCUGCUCGAACCGCCUCGAUCGCCGGCCCGUCUCCUAGGUUUGCCGCCUCUGCUUUGUGGCCCGAUGGAGGCGAUGGAGGAGCUCGCGGAGCUCGCCGACGCGACGCUGCAGGGCGCCUCGCUGCUCGCGGACGACGACCCCUCCGCCGACCGCCCGAGCCGCCGCGGCUCGUCCUUCCUCACCGCCGUCGCGAUCGGCAACGUCGUGCGUAUACUAUACCCCCUUCUCUCUCUUCCUCCCCCGCCGGUGCGGUGCGAAUUUACGAUCGCGGCUCGGUCGGUCCCUGCGCUCCUGAUGUCUGAUCGAUCGAUGGCCGCGUGUUCAAUUUGUGCAGGGAGCGGGCAAAUCGGCGGUGCUCAACGGCUUGAUCGGCCAUCCCGUGCUCGUCAGUACACAUCCUCCAACCUUUUUGGACAGUUUUUUUUCCUCCUGCAUUAUUCCAUUCGUUCAAAGAUUUCUCCGAAUUCUGUUCCGUUCGCGUCGGUGUGCCCGGAUCAUUGGAUUACUGUUAGUCUGUGGCCUCUAGGAUCCCAAUUUUCUUUAAGUUACCGAUUUUAUUCCAACACCGUUACAUUUAAUACUGUAUGUGCGAUUCAGGAUUUGCCGCUCCCCUGACUGUUUGUUUGUGCCAAUGAUGACUGUGUUUGCAGCCUACCGGGGAGAAUGGCGCGACAAGGGCCCCGAUCUGCGUCGAACUGCAGCGGGACGCAUCGCUCAGCAGCAAGGCCAUCGUUCUGCAGAUCGACAGCAAGUCACAGCAGGUUUCCGCGAGUGAGUUCUCUAAUUAUCCUGUUUCUCUGCGUGGCUAGAAGAUUAUUCUUAGGCUCUGAGAAAUGAGGAGAUAGAUCUGGGUGCCGUGGGUCCAUGUGUUUGUCAGUGGUUUAUGUCUGAAUGACUAUGGUACAGGUUCCCUCAGGCACUCGUUGCAGGACAGGCUGAGUAAGGCUGGUAGUUCUGGCAAGGGGCGGUCGGAUGAAAUCAAUGUGAAAUUGUGCACCAGCACAGGUUGGUUUGUUCCUCUGUUAGUCUGUUGUUCUUACUCUUUUUUCAUGAAGAGAGUCAAUGUCGUUUUGUCCUGAGCGAGAGAGUGAAUGUUGUCACCGAGAAUAUUUUCUUUCUUCUUUCCUUUUCUCUCUCUUUUUAGAAGCUCUCUUCUUUUGUUUUUGCUACUUUUAGUCAGAGAUGUAAAUUCACCUAUGUGAAUUGUAUGUCCUGAACAUGCUCGACUAAAUGUUUUGUAGUUGAUGUAGGGGGUGUUUGGGAGCAGGGGGCUAAAUUUUAGCCCCCGUCACAUCGAAUAUUUGGACACUAAUUAGUAGUAUUAAAUAUAGACUAAUUAACAAACUAAUUACACAACCCCUAGGCUAAAUCGCGAGACGAAUCUAUUAAGCCUAAUUAGUCCAUGAUUUGACAAUGUGGUGCUACAGUAACCAUUCACUAAUGAUGGAUUAAUUAGGCUUAAUAGAUUCGUCUCACGAUUUAGCCUAGGGGUUCUGCAAUUAGUUUUGUAAUUAGCUUAUGUUUAGUCCUCCUAAUUAGUAUCCGAACAUCCGAUGUGAUAUGGCUAAAGUUUAGCCCCCUCCUCCCAAACACCCCCGUACCUGCACUACUUUGGUUCCAGUGUGCUUUUCAAGUGGUUAACAAUAGCACAAAUAAAAUGGUCUUUUGUACAUUUUGAAUGAGGAUAACAGUAUCUUUGUAGGUGUAUAAUUGCAUUGGAACCCUUGGCCAUACCCUCUGUGCCUUGAAAAUUCCGAUCCAUAUCAAAAGCAUUAAUGGUUUGAGAUCAAAAGUUAGAUUCUUUGUCAACAAUAUUGCUUAAGUUUUGAUAAGAUACUCACCUAGUCACCUGGGUGCAUGUCUUCAAAAAUCAAUGCAUUUCAAAUUUAAGGUCACAAUAACCAUCUUUAUUCUGUGUUCACUUUGCAUAAACACUUUUGUUUCAGCCCCUGCACUAAAAUUAAUCGACUUACCGGGCAUAGAUCAACGGAGCAUGGAUGAAUCAAUGGUGAGUAUUAAGAAGGGAAAGUCCUCUAUUUUGGUUGUUUGUUUAGCUAUUUGUGCAGCUAGUAGAUUACCUACGCAAUGAUAUGGCUAAGGCUUAAAAUACCAAUACAUUUCACAUGUUGUCGAGAACUCUUGUCAAAAUUAAAAAACUAACGAAGUGCCUGUUCACCAUUUCUUCAUAUGUGGUUUGCAACUUGCAAUCAUGUCUCCAGAUUGGUAACUAUGCAGCACGCAAUGAUGCAAUUUUGCUAGUUAUCGUUCCAGCUCUCCAAGCACCUGAUGUGGCAUCUUCUCGAGCUCUAAGGAUUGCCAGAGAAUUGGACUCAGAAGGUGUGUAUGAUAGGUUGCACAAAUCUGGACUUUAAUUUAUUACACUUUCUUGACAUACCAUUCAAGUUAUUUACUUGUAAUGUUGGGUGAAACCAUGUAUUAAUGUGUUCACUUACUAGGUACUAGAACCAUUGGUAUCUUAAGCAAAAUUGAUCAGGCCGCUGGAGAACAGAAAGCCCUGGGUGCUGUUCAGGCCUUGCUUGUAAACCAAGGUCCAAGAACUGCAGCAGACAUUCAGUGGGUAGCUACAAUUGGGCAUUCUGUUCCUACUGCCUCUGUUCAGUCUGAAGUAGGUUCUGAAACCUCACCAGAAGCUUCUUGGCAAGCAGAAGUAAAAGGCCUUAUAUCUAUACUUUGCGGAUCUCCCCAAAGUAAGCUUGGUCGAGUAGCUUUAGUUGAUUCACUUGCUAAGCAGAUAAAGACACGGAUAAAAGUUAGGCUGCCAAAUCUUCUGAAUGGGUAAAACUUAUCCUGCUCUGUUUGGUCAACUUUUGUAGUAGUAUUCUAGAAUGUAUGAUAGUUUCCUCUUUAUAUAACUGCAGUCUCCAAGGGAAGUCUCAAAUUGUCCAAGAGGAAUUAGCAAAACUUGGAGAACGGAUGGCCGAAAGUUCUGAAGGAACCAAGGCAAUUGCUUUAGGACUUUGCCGAGAAUUUGAGGAUAAGUUUCUUCAACAUAUUGCUGGGGGUGAGGUUAGUCAUUAGUGAGUCUAAUAAUGCACAAUGCCGUGGCCUACAUCUCUUAGAUUUAUUCGUAAUCUGAGGUUUUAUUUUUUGUCAUAGUAAAGGAUAUUAGAAACUUUGAGCAUGAGUUUACUUUUGCAGUAUUUCUGUCGAUCAUAAACCUAAUAGUAUGAACCAUCCUUGUUUUAUCACAGUUAUAUAGUGUGCUAAACACUUUUUAGAAGUUUUAAUUGUCACAUGUUUGAUCAUUUUAAUUUGUAACAGACUCUGUGAAAUGAGGAUGUUCUUAAUGAGCAAGGAAUGAGUACAUGCGGUAUCACAAACUCAAAUUUGUAGAGUUUUUUACCGUGUUAAAUGUUUUGUAUAAAGUUUAUGGGAAAAUAUUCAGUGCGAACACCUCUUCAGUGAAAACCAUCUCUUCAAGUGAAUAUGCACUAGAAGACACUGAAUAUUUUCUUCCCAAAGUGUAUUCUAUUUGAAAUGUUUAAACUCAUAUUAGAGCAAAAUUUGUCCUUUGCUGGAAUUUAAUCAUACAUGAAAUUUUACUGUUUAUAUGCAGGGUGCGGGUUGGAAAGUUAUUGCAAGUUUUGAGGGGAAAUUUCCAACUAGGAUCAAACAACUACCUCUGGACAAGCAUUUUGAUAUGAAAAAUGUCAAAAGGGUAAUUUUGUUGUGCUUGGGCAGAAAUCAAAGCCACCAAACUUGAACCUGUCCAAUUUAUGGUUACAAACAUAACCUUUUUCCUUGUGUCAGAUUGUUCUGGAGGCUGAUGGUUAUCAGCCAUAUCUGAUAUCACCUGAAAAAGGUUUAAGGUCUCUCAUAAGAGGGCUUCUAGAGUUAGCAAAGGAACCGUCUAUACUCCUUGUGGAUGAGGUAGUUCUGAAAAAUUUGAGCUGUACGCUUUGUGUACAUACGUUCUGUACUUCUGUUAAGAUCAAAAGAUACUUACGUGUUUUUUAAAAAUAAAAGAUACUUAUGUGUUUUUUAAAAUUAAAAGAUACUUACAUAAUGCAUACUAGUUCAGAACAAAGCAUGGAUCAGAGCCAGAAACCAUAUUAUUGCUAUUCAUUCAGCUUAUCUGCUCAUGUCAAUUUCUGUCCUUUCUGUUUCCACAUGAAUACUCACAGGUCUAGUCGUACCGCUACUCAGAUUGGCCAUAUUUUCAAAUCAUGUUCAGUAUUCUCAUGACAUUGUCACCAUUUAAAUACUUUUGUUUCAAAUUAUUGCUAUCAGGUUCACCGUGUAUUGCUAGACAUAGUAUCAUCUGCAGCAAAUGCAACUCCAGGACUUGGUAGAUAUCCUCCAUUUAAGCGGGAGGUACAAUUCUUAAGCAUGGUAAAGAGCCAACGUUUUAGUUGUUUCAUCAGUAACCCUUUUAUUUUGUUUUUCCCCGCAAGGUAAUUGCAAUUGCAUCUGCUGCUUUAGACGGUUUCAAGAAUGAGGCACGAAAGAUGGUCGUCGCACUAGUUGAUAUGGAGCGCGCAUUCGUACCUCCCCAGCAUUUUAUUCGCUUAGUGCAGAGGAGGUUAGGUGAUCUUGCUUUGUAGAAACCUUGUUAGUUUUCCCAUGUUAUAAGAUUGUCACUUUCAUUAGCUAUUUCCUUUCAAAACUAGUAGACUUCUAUUUUCAUAUUUCAAUUUUUCAUUUUCUACUAUGUUCUAUAUUUUUAUUGAUGUGAUUUUGGAAUUUUUAGUAGUUCAACAAAAUAGUACUUAAACCUUGUAGUAUAUGUUUAUUGAAGUGCCAACUUGUAUCAUUGCAAAUUCAUGAGUUAAUUUCUCUAUCAUUCUUUGUAAGAAUAAAUGAUGUCCUAUCUUGUUGAUAUGAGAAAUCAUGUGUCAAUAUAGUGCCCAUUCAUUGUCUUGUCCAAUUCCAUUGGCACUGACAAACAUCUUCUCAUCUGUGGUUUUCAACCGUUGUGUACAUUGUUAAUAACUGGGUGUAUAGGUUAUUAUUUUCCUGUCUAAUUUUCAAAUUUUAAAAUCUAGAAUUGAAAGGCAACAUCAAGAGGAUGAGCUGAAGAGUCGCUCUACAAGGAAGGGUCAAGAUUCAGACCAAAAGAGAGUAUGCUACUCUGUAUUGUAUAUUGUGUCCAAUUUAUGUUUACUAAUUUGUUGUGGAUAGAUAUUUUGUAAUGGUUAUUCGUUACAUGAUUGUUUUUUCUACCGAACAUUACCUCAUAGUCUUUGUCAUAUAGUAUUUAAAUACAUAAUGUUAUUUCAUCAAUAAUUGUGAAAUUGGUUUCUUUCACUUUCAGGAUACAAGCCCACAAAAAAAUUCAAAUCAAGGUGAGAUGAAACAGGCAUCGAAUAUACAAGUUUUAGGUCCUGCAGGCGAAAUUAUUGCUGGUAUGGACCUACUACAAUUGUACUUAAUCUUAUUAGUUAUAUAUACAGAUAAAUAGUAAAACAAAUGAAAAGAGAUGCCCAUAAGCAGAGCUAUUUUGUAUUUAAAAGUUUUUGCUGGAUCGAUUACAUAUUGGGUAUUCGAGAAAAUAUUACAUACUGAGUGCAUGUUUCUCUGUCAAAGGUUUUCUGUUCAAAAAACGUGCAAAAGCAAAUGACUGGAGCAAGAGAUGGUUUGUUCUAAAUGAGAAAAGCGGAAAGGUUGGUUGUAUUGGCAUUAAACUACUCAUCUAUUUUUUUACCAUUUGAUGGGGGUUCCAAAAAAUUCUUUAAUGAUCAGCUUGGAUACACCAAGAAACAAGAGGAGAGACAUUUUCGGGGUGUCAUAAUUCUGGAGGUACAGUGAUUCUUCUAAUUGGCAUUUGGGCAUUUAGGUUUACAUAUGUUGAUGCAGUAUGUUUUCAAUGUAAGGCAUUGAAUGCAAAAGAAUACCUUAUCUUUGGUGUAGCUCUGAUAGCAUUUAGCUGAUAUUGCAUCUCUGUGCAUGAAUCCUGUAAUAGAUCGGUUUCUGUUAGACGGUUAGAGUAGCUAGAAAAUGUAUCUUUUUGAAUAGAUGAGCAAGGUCCCAAUAACUGGCACAGGCUACUUCCAAUUCUUGGAAAAGCAACCCGCUUAGUUAUUCUUUAUUUGUUUGAAGAUUUUUUUGUUUCUCUUUUCCGUACAUGAGGUUUAGGAAAUAUAGAUACAACUAUAUAUUGUAUUGGCAUAUAAUUAUCCUAAAGAUGAGGUGAACUGGCUAGAUCCAAAUGGGUUGCCAAGAAUAGGGCGUGGUCGGAUUGACUGGUUAUUUUUCACUGGUUUUCGGAACCCUAUUGCUCCUAGUGCCACCUUACCAUCAUUUGGUCUUUGCAUUACAUUAUUUGUGACUUGUAGGAUUGUAAGCUUGAAGAGAAUUUAGAUGACGAAGAUCCUCCAAGAAGUUCUAAAGGUUCUAAAAAGGCAAAUAUGUUAGAUACUGGAGAAGAUUCUAGUCUUAUGUUCAAGAUUACUCACAAGAUUGCCUAUAAAAAUGUUUUGAAAGGUACUUAUACAUCUAUUUUUCAAUUCAUAACAUUUUUUAAAAUCUAGUUUCUAAUUCACAACAUGUUUGAUGUUAAUUACCAUGGCAGCUCACAACGCUAUUAUACUGAAGGCUGAAAGUAUGAGUGAUAAAACUGAAUGGGUCACCAAGAUUAAAAGCAUUGUUGACCAGAAAGGGGUUUCUGCAAAGAAACCAAAUGCUUCAGAAGGUGGUACGCCAAUGAAGCAAAGCCAUUCAGAUGUUUCUCUAGUAUGUUGCAAGACUUUACAUGUUUGUUUUUUCAAAAGUAUUUUUACAUUUGGUUCUGCUUCUUGCUGCUAUUUCCUUUUUUUCCAUUUAGGAAUAGCUUGUCACUGGGAUUUUUGGAACCCUCCCUCUAGAGCAAAAAGUGAUGAAUUAUAUUCCAUUUGCACUUCAUUCUUCUAACUUAUUUUCUAUACCUGCACAUACUAAACUUCCAGGAUACAAUGCUUAAGAAACCUGUGAACCCUGAAGAAGAGCUUAGAUGGAUAUCUCAGGAAGUCCGUGGAUAUGUGGAAGCAGUCUUGAGCAGUCUUGCAGCAAAUGUUCCCAAGUUAAGACCUCAAUCUUUUCAGCCUUUCCUUGGUUCCUUUUUGCGUCCUGCAAUGUCUUACUAAUCCAGUUGAGCAGGCUGUGGUUCUUUGCCAAGUUGAGAAAGCUAAGGAAGAUAUGCUUAACCAGCUGUAUACGUCUAUAAGGUUGGUUCAAUCAAAACAUUUCUGUACACUUGGGUGUUUCAUAUUCGAUAUGUUCGAAUAUGUUACUUUUAUGAUAGAAAAAAAACUUAUUACUUGCUCUUUGUAUGAUAUUUUUUUUGCAUUUAAGCAUCACAUAGUAAAACAUACUUCUUUGUUCUGUUUCAUCAUGCAAGCUGCUAGGCCAUUUUUCUCUAAAUUCGAGGAGAUCUUGAAUCACGUGUCGCUGACUGCUGAGGUUCUGUUCAUUGUAUCUCUACUUUGGUUGAAAUUCUAUGGUCCUGCUACUGCAUAAAAAAUGUACAUUAUUAUGAGAUCUGCUAGUACCAGUCGAUUUGUUAGAGCUACUUAAUCACAUCAACAUGCUUAAGCAAUAUAAUAGCUUUGUUUGGAUUUUCUCUAAUAUAUGAUUGCUGGAUGAUAAAUGCAAGCGCUUUGUCUGUGGUAUUUGCUAGAGAUCCAGGUGUCACUGUUUUCAGAGAUUGUAUCAAUUACAGCCGUUAACGUUUGAAACAUUCUUUUUACAUAUGGCAAAGUAACUAACUCGCGUCUCUCAUCUGUGGUUAGCACGCAAAGCACAACCAAGAUUGAAGAGUUAAUCCAGGAGGAUCACAAUGUGAAGCGCAAGCGUGAAAAGUUCAAGUUGCAGUCAUCCCUUCUUUCCAAGGUCACUCGCCUGCUCAGCAUACAUGAUAGUCGGUCAGCCAAUGCUAGUUGGUCAAACGAUUCUGCUGGAUCAGGUAAGUCAAUUCCUUUUAUGAAUUAACAUAUAUCUGUUGAAUGCUCACCAUGAGCUGCAUGAAAAUUGCUCCGAGAAAUGUCAUCUCUGAAACUCAUUUCUGUUCCCCUCAAUACACCGACGGACGGCGGUGGCAGCAUCAGGGUUGGGGUUGGAGACCAGCGCUGCUCACUGUGCUGAGCUCAAAGUCUUGGUUAAGCGCCCUAGCGGCGUAAGAGCGCAUGGCCUGGAGUACGAUCUCAGGUUGGGAGCUGGAAUGGCCAGCAAGACCGAGCCAUAGGGGUGGUACCACCUCCAGCCAUGGCGGCCGCGGAGCGGGGGUGGGGGGAUAAAUCUACUCAGGGUUCUGGGAUGGCUUGGUGAUCUUAUCCACUCGUUGGUGAGCUGGUGUUCCUUGGGGCUAAAUUUUAAAACACUGAAUUUUUGAGCGGCAGUCCAAAUCUACUGGGCCAACAUAUAAAACAGAAAUAUUGGGUUUAUCGGAAUCUAUCAGCAAUUAUGUAGACCCUUAUGUGAUAAUUUUUUUUACAAUGAAUAGCCUGCUCUAUUCCAUGUUUUCAGUCUAGAACUAGAACUAAAACUACAGAGUUAUUCCUUGUUUUGAGCAAUAAUGUAGGCUCCCUUAGUUUCAUCAAAUCGGCAUCCAGACCAGUUCCAAGCGAAGCGGAGAUAAACUUUCCCUGCCCCUGUUUCCUAAAUUCCAACAUGCUUUAUUUAGUGUGCAGAGUGUGUCAUAGCCAAUGACCUCAUCAAAUUGUACUGCCACAUGUAAUUAAAAAAAAUAUACUGCCAUGUGUGAAUUGCCUUUUUAUCUAGAGUGUACCCUAGCCAACAUCACAUAUUCACAAUUUGUUGUACUGCAAAUUUUGAUAAACUUGUUCCAUGCACUUAAUUGCUAAUCAUUUCUACAGAGAGUAGUCCAAGGGACACUGGACAUGGUGAUGAAUGGAAGUCCGCAUUCGAAGCUGGAUCCACCAAUUCAUCUUCUGGAGCAACCAGCCGCCGCAUGCCAAGUCGAGGGCCACCACCGCCGCCACCAAAUGGUGGCUGACCAGGAUUUCCAAGGAGCACAUCUGUUAGUGUUUGCUCCCCACAGCCUUAAGCAGUUGAUCUGAGUUUUCAGAAGAACACGUGAGGCAUAGCGAAGGUGCAAGGUUGACAUUAUUACUCAAAUAAAGUGUCCAUAGGUUUGUGAAUAAUAAACAAUCGUUAAUAGAAAGAUUUGUGUCUCUCCCAUUCACAGUUAGUGCUGUAGGAUCGAUCCAGUGCCUCUCUGUAAUAUUUUGCUGCUUUCUGUAGUACUAUUUGUUUAAAAAAGAAUAUAUGCAAUUUUCCUUCUCCUAGUUUUUUCCCCCAUGGGGUACGGUCAUCAUUCAUCAGUCAAUUACACUUUCCCGUGUUGUUAAUCUUGUGAACCGAAGCCAGUUGGUUCAGAGUUAAGGAUCCUGGAACUUCCUACUCGCCACUCCAUUGUAUUGAGCAUCGAGGUACUAGGGAGUGCACACAUAUACAUCAGAACAGAACAGGUCGAUCAGGUUCUACUGGCUUACACGGUUCUACCGUGCUACCAAAUAUCAUGUUAGCACUUAAUUGACACAUAUUUCCAAAAUUAUUGAAUUCAAAUAUCAUGUUGCGUUAUUUUUGUGUAUUAACAUUUUUAUCCAUAACAUUCUCGUGGAGGAUAGUUAGCAAAGUGUCAAUAAUCUUUAGAUAAAUAAAUCAAGGUUAAGUCCUUGCAAAUGCUACUUGUAUUUAGGUAGAAGUUUAUAAAAUGAUAAUGCAAUUUAUAAUAAAUCUAAAAACGUAUUAUUCGUGGAGGUAGAGCCAACCAACAAGAAUCUACAACUCAAAAGGAUCUAAUAAUAUAGUAUUAUAUAAUAAAAGUGCAAUAAUAUUGAGCAUAUUCUAUAAGGAAAUGAUGUGGUGCUAAUGCUGAAAAAAUAGUUUGGAGCAGAAAAAGGUGGGAUAGAAUUGAACCCUGAUAGGGGCCCGAUAAAACAAUUUUUACUUGCUGGGUCUAUCUUUCGUAAGUCAAGCUGUGCCCAUCAAUUUUACUGGGCUGAACACUGAAACACGGGUCAGACAUGGAUUAAAAUUUUUGACCCAAAACUCAAAAAGCCCAACCAAACCCAAAUAUUACACACAACAAUAUGAGUUUGACAUGAUCCAAUCCAAACCUGACCUGACCAUGCGACGAGUCAAGCGCGGGUCAAAAAACACAACCCAAUGGUUGGCUUGAGCUAGGCAUGGGUCAAAAUUUUUAACCCAAAUCCUGAAAGAUCUCGACCAGACCCAACAAAUGAUCAGGUCUAGUCCGACCUCUAGUUCUUGAAGGUGGCGGGUAGACGGUCCUCUUGCAUCUCCUCGUAGUGGGCAGGUAUCAUGCACAAUGUGUCGGAGUCAACUACCAUAGUGGCAUUGGAGGGAGCAGGGUGGUGUGAGAAAAGGUGAUGAGGGGGGUGCCUUAGGGAGCCGGCGGUGGAAGUUGCAAUGGCAACCACACAGGAUGCACCUUAGAGAGGACGAAUCAGUGGGGUCAUCCUCCGACAAUGGCAUGAACUUACCGCACCCAUACUCCCUUCUCUCCCUAGAGGGUGUUUAGCCCCUGUCACAUCGGAUAUUUGACACUAAUUAGGAGUAUUAAACAUUGGUUAAUUUCAAAACUAAUUGCACAACCCCUAUGCUAAAUCGCGAGUCGAAUCUAUUAAGCCUAAUUAGUCCAUGAUUUGAUAAUGUGGUGCUAAAGUAACCAUUUGCUAAUGAUGGAUUAAUUAGGCUUAAUAGAUUCGUCUCGCGAUUUAGCCUAGGGGUUCUGCUAUUAGUUUUAUAAUUAGCUCAUAUUUAAUCAUCCUAAUUAGCAUCCGAAUAUCCGAUGUGAUAGGGCUAAAGUUUAGUCCAUAUCUCCGAACACCCCCUAAUCGAGCUUGUGCGCUCGAUUCUCCGUGGCUUCAGCGGAAAGCGUUCUCCCCUGAGGAUACCGUGGCGGCGGCAGGACGAACAAUAGGGCCCACACCAUGAUGUCAUCAUACGAGGGCUCCGCAUUACCGCUAGUGCGGCUACUUCUGAAGCCCUUCACCGGUGCUCGUCCAUUUGGUGCUAGGCACAGCACAUCCCAGCGGCACAUGCUUGUCCUAUGGAAUGAAAAAGAAAGGAAGAGGAAAAAGAUAAUAGGGGCAAUUUGGUCUAAAUAUUUUGAGGCAUACGUUGUAGGGGUAAGUAACGGUAUAUCUCAGAUAAAUGGCUAAGUGUAAUGGUAGGGGUCCAAUCAGAUCGGAUACGUCUUAGUUACAAACACGAACUAAUGUGUUCGGAAUACAAAAUGAGUCCGGUGCGGACAAUGUCGGCAAUGAAUAUUUUCCUCGGAGAAUGAGUAAAAGCUACCAUACAUAUACCACACGUCCUGCAUUCAUUUAGACGCACAACAAGUCCUAAGUGGCUAAUUCCAUCCAGAUUGUGCUUAAAGAAGAAAACUUUUAUUAUUUCUAAUUACAAAUAAAAAAGAAAAAAGUUCAAAUUACUCUCCUAAGUAUAACCAAAGCCUGGAUAACCCCCUAAACUAUAUUUUAGUUCAAUUUACCCCCUAAACUAUGCUAUUUGUUCUUUUUUCUGCAUAUACAAGUUAAAUUUUAAUUUGAGAUUUUGCAGAGUGGUAGUGGACAUCAUAAUCUAUAUUUAUAAAAUAUUUUAUGAAUUUUUACGUCAUUAUUUUUUUUAUAUAAUUUUGUAUCUCGAGGAUACUUUUUAUUAUUAAAUAUCCUACCAUAUCAAAAUAAUAAUUAAAAAAUUAUGAUAUAUUUAUAACAUGUCUUAUGAUAUGUGCUGUCAUUUUGCAAAAUUUGAACUUAAGACUCCACUUGUGUAUGGAGAAAAAAAAAGAUAAAAUUGUGUUAAGGGGUAAAUUAAACCAAAUGGUAUAGUUUAGGGGUAAACUGAACUAAUAAAUACUUUAGGGAUUAUCCAGACUUUGAUUAUUUUUCCAAAAAAAUACUUCAAUGCUACUUAAAGUCUGAUAUUUGUCGCUGAAAUUCAAAACUUUUAUAAACACAAAGUUACACCAACUUGACAAUUUAGUUUAAUUUUUUAGAGUUAAUUUUAAUUUGAUGACAAAGUUUAUUAAUUAUUAGAUUCACUUUUACUUUAUAAAGUAUGCUUCAUUUACACUCAUGUGCGUUGAGUUAGGCAUGUAGGCUAGGCCUAAUGGGUAACCGAUCCAACCUUCCAAAUUUGAUAUCAGAACUAACUGUCCGAAUUAUCGGAUUGGUAUUCGAUAUCCGACAGAUACUACCCUUCUUAUCUAGUAUCCAAUAAAAAUAUCUGUAUUCGAAUCCACUCAGAAAAAAAUAUUAGGAUAAGGUACCCGACCAUAUUCAGUCGAUCGGGCGGUCAGAAAAAUAUUGGUACCAUCAUUUGGACUAUGUAAUGGUACGGUUGCAAAUAGUUGAGCAGUAAUGGUAUAUCACCUGAAAGAUUGAAAUUGUAAUGGUAUGGAUCAAAUUGAUCCUAUCUCUUUCCCUAGCUCCAAAACAGGCCGGCUGGCUCAUUUCCAUGCCACACCCACAAGGUCCAAUCACUAACCCAGCCAAAUAACCUUUCUAAGUAGGUGACACAAGAGGCGCAAUCUGCAAUGACACCUCCUUCGUCCUACUACCUCUUGUGUGAUGUGCUACUUGUGAUUUUGAAUCAUUACACAUGCACGCUCGUGUGCGUGAGUGUUAUAUAACCCUUCCUUUUUUCAUAUCUUAAUUUAGUUCUCACCCCUUAUUGUGAUUAUUAAAUAAAAAAUGUUUCUGGGAUUAUUACUGAUUGCUAUUUUCUUAUGUGAUGCAGGUGAAGAAGAUGAUAGUUUAUGCUGUUGAUCAUGCUGUCAAGACGAUGAAAGACCGUCUGCGACCGAUUUUCUCCUCAUAUUAAUGAUCGAUAUAUGCUAUUUGAAAGAAAAAACAAUGUAAAACUAGGAGGAAGAAAAUAGUGUACAUUCCAUUUGAUUGAUAACAUGUAUUUGCUAUUGUGGAACUGAAUUACCUUGCCUCAUCACACAUUGAUCCCCGCAAGAUCUCGUCUAUGCAAGCUCUCGUUUACCAUCAUCUGAUCCCAAAACUGUAUCUUGAGACCGAAAAGGAUGAUCCAUCUAGGUGGCACCAUCGAAGAAAGUUAUUGCUGCCUCAGCAGGUUGCUUGAUCCCCUACGUGCCCGUGCACAAAAGCCCAAAACCACCUAUCGAAAUUGUCGAUGAGGGCAUGCAAAUAUGGACCUUCAGCUUCUUGGCGGCGGUGGUGGUCGCAAGGUCACGAUGAAGAGGAUGUGCCAGGAGAACUAGCUCGCCGGCCUCCUUGAAUCCCAAGCCUCUACUUUAUCUGCGUUCAAGAUGUUCGAACCACUUGAUGUCAGUGCUUGCUCGUGCUGUCAAUCCAGUGACUCAGUCAACAAUCGGAUAAUGUGAAGCAUUCCAAAAGCACUGGGUGGGAGGAGAGCCCGUGGUCAAUCGGUGUGUGAUCAAGAAUAUGUCCAAGUUCAGCUGGGAACCACGAAUAGCGAUUGCAGGUGUUCAGAACUAAAGAAUGUGAAGGCAAUCGGUGUGAUGUGUUACUUGUGAUUUUGAACCGUUAUGCGUGCACACUUUUGUGUGUGUGUGUGUUACAACUCUUCCUUUUUACGGAUAUCUUAAUUUAGUUCUUGCCGCUUAUUGUGCUUAUUAAUAAAAAUUUGUUUCCCAGGAUUAUUAUUGAUAACUAAUUACUGAUGUGAUGCAGGAGAAGAAGCGCAAGCCACUGCUUUAUCUGCCACUUUCGAGAUGUUCGAACUAGUUGAUGUCAUAACAGCCGAUGAUAGUGCCUGCUCGGGCUAUCACUCCAGCGACUUGGUCGUGCUCAAGGAUAGCAUCUUCUAGAGAUGAUUCACAGGACAAUCACAUAUACUGCCCGGUAUAGGACGGCAGCCAGCCGGAUGAUGUGAAGCACUUUCAGAAGCUGGGUGAGAGAGGAGAGCCCGUGGUCAUCGGAAUGUUGUCAAGAAAAUGUCGGAGUUCAGCUGGGAGCAGCCAAAGAUGUGGUCUGCACUGAAUGGUUAUGGCAGGCGUUCAGAACUGAAGAAUGUGAAAGCCAUCGACUGCCUUGAUUUGUGUGAGGUUAGCAUCAAUCAAUGUCUUGCAUCUUUUCAUAUUUGAAUUCCUAUAUGUCUAAAUAAUGAUAUGCAUGUUCUUGUUUAUUUUUUGUAGGUUAAAAUGCACAAAAGUGAGUUCUUCAAAGGGUAUUAUGAAGGCACGAGGCAUCACAAUCAAUGGCCACAAAUGCUGAAGCUGAAGGAUUGGCCUCCCUCAGCACACUUAGAAGAUCUUUUACCGGCACAUGGAAGCAAAUAUAUAAACUCAGUGCCUUUUCAACCUUACACAAACCCGAAAUCAGCUGGCUUCCUCAACAUCUCUGUCACACCCGGUUUUAAAGGCAAAACCGAAUACUACCUAUAUGUAUGCCAAGAUCAAGUUUUAUACAUAUAGUGAUAUCAUAAGUGAAUAACAGCAACAGUAUCACGUAAAACGCUACAAAUAAAGACUUACAAACCAUCAGAGACACACAGCUUAAAUACUGGAAACGGAGGCUCCAAACUUCACAGACAAUCGAUUGGGGUUGCGUACGCCUAGAACUCAGCAUCAUCUUCGGAAUGCUUCACACAACUUCUUCUUCUGAGCAGCAGUAAGCAAGGGUGAGUACACUUAUGGUUGGUACUCAGCAAGGCCACAAGAAAUAACCAGAAUAACGAUUUAAGUCCAUCUUCAAGUUUAAUUAAUCAUGUGAGGGUCCAGGUCGCUCUUGACCGUGAGCACGGCUGAUCGAUCAGUUUUACACUCUGCAGAGGUGGCACAUCUUUACCCACAAGUCGCGUAAAAGUUCAAAGAACUUUGGACCCAACCAUGCGGUACUAGCUAGACACCAUACCACACUUCCAAGGUGUGAUUGCAUAGGGACGCUACGAAGCCUUUACAAAGAUUCCCUAAUAAGAAGUGGUCCGCUAAGGUUUCAUGAUCAGCGCAGUAUAUAGCAGUCCCCUAGUGGUAUAAUGUCUUAGCAAAGCCCACUUCCCAAGAGAGCGAGUGUUAUACACCAACUACUGUCUCCCCCUCUUGCCCUUUCGGUAAGACCGCUUCAAACUAGAGUUUCUAAUUAUUCAGCCAAGACCAGAGCCAUUUAGUCUUGUGGUAGCACUAUUUUCCUGGGUGGUUCUCCAUGUUCCGAUAACAUAAUCAUGAUAUUAUUAACAAAGCAUAGGUAGAAGGAUGGUUAGGGACACUUGCCUUUCUCCAACAGAAAGUUACUCUUACUGCUCUUCAGCUUCUUGCUUUCUUGAAACUCUUACUCUUCAAAACUUCGGAAUAGCGAUCCUUCUACUCGAAGCAAACAUCGGCACAAACAUACAAGCAACAAACAGGUACAACUAAGAACAAUACACCAAAACAAAAGACAGGCUUUAAAAGAGCGUACUAAAGGACAUGGCUCGAUUCUAGGAUUACGCGGACGCAGGAACACUUACAACGGAACUAUGGUUGAAAAGAUAAAGCUAUCGAGAGUUUUAAAUUAUAAAAGAAAGAUAAGAGCUACAAGCUUCAUUUAUUUUAGUUGAGAAAAGCAAUGUUAAGAUAUCUCAGAGGAAUAUCCUUAGUUAGAAUUAAUCAAGUCAUAUUUAUAUUUUCAUAAGAAAAGAUGGUCUAAAGCUUAGUCCAAUUUUAUUUAUCAAUAUUUAAGUACAAUUUAUGCAAAUUAAUCAUUUAAUUUAAAAAUAAGAUACAUGUAGACAUAUAAGCGUAUAGCUUUACAUUUCGAGUUCAACUAAGUAGAUUAAAUUAAAAACACAUUUAUAUUUAUAUUAGCCAAAUUAAUAUUUAAUUAUGAAAACUCGAGAUAUAACCUAUACAGAUUUUAUUUAGAAAACAAAUUGAAUAAACAUUAAUCAAAUUGAAUUUAAUUUAUGAAACGCCGAGGUAUAACUCUAAGUGGCUUUUAAUUGGAAGAAUUAUUUAGAUAGGCAUUAAUCCAAUUAACUUUAGUUUAUGAAAAAUCGGUAUAUAACCUAAUUGUCUUUUAUUUAGAAGAGGGUAUGGAGUAGGCAUUAAUCAAAUUAACAAUUAUUAUGAAAAAUGAUGUUUAACACUAAAUAGAUUUUAUUUAGAGAAGAACUCGUUUGUCAGGCAUUAAUCAAUUUUAAUAUAAAUUUAUUUUCAAAAACAAGUAUGAAGGUAAACAUUACCACUAUCGUGUGAUUUACAUUGUUAUGCAUCUAACGCAACUUGAACGGAUUAAAACGGAGCUAAAACGUAGAAUCUAUGGGUUAAACGACGUUGCAGGGGUCUAAACGUAAUUAACCGUAGACUUGGAGGGUUAGCUGAGAAGAUUGGCAAGACACAAGGAAUAGUGCUCGCGAAAAGGUUAAAGGACAGGGUUAGAUUUGCAAAAACGAAGGUGCUAGACUGGAUCUAGGGAAACUAAUAGAUCCAGGGGGUUAUCUGCUAGUUUGCCAAGACACAAAGAAAAGAGGAAAAUUACAGAGUUCUCCAAGGGCUAAACCAAAAAAAUGCCGGAUCUUCUUCUACCUCUCGCCAGGGACUCUGGCUGGGCAAAUCGCCGGCGCUCCGGGCGGCUGGGGCACCGGUGGGCGGCGCAGGAGAUAGAGGAGACGGAGGGGGCCUUGGGAAGGUGCUCACUGGUGGUAGGGACGCGGCGUCCCGGCCGGAAUCAAACGUACAGAGGAGCAAGCGGCGGCCGGCUCGACUCCUCUACGGCGGCGGCGCUCCGGCUUCCGAUUCACGGUAAGGAACGGCGAAACGGACGCGGCUCGUCGAGGUGAGGCUCCAGGAGUUGUCGGCUUCGUCCGGCAAGCAACACGCGCGGCGAAUCGAGGUGGUCAAGGUCGGCGGCGGCGGCGGCUUGUCUGCACGGACGGCGGCGACGCGGGGCGAGAGAAGGACGGGGCGAGGCGGCUCAGGCAGCAGAGAAAGGCAGGGCGCUCGCCGCUUGCCCUUAAAUAGGCGCGGAGCCCUAGGGUGCCGGCGUGUGGGGCGCGGACGCCCAGGAGGUGGCGGUGGCGCCGGCCGUGCUUGGCCUGGCCUCGGCCAGAUGGGCCUUGGCGGGCUGGUGCUAGGCCUGAGCGGGUCGAGCCCAAGGCUCGGCCCCAAAGGAAAGGAUUUUUUUUUAGAAAUAUUUUCCCGUGAAAGGAAAAGUCGAGAAUAAUCCAGAUGAUUCCAUAAUGUCAGAAAAAAAUACCCUGAGAAUCCCAAAAUUCCAGGAAAAUUCCAGAGAUAGUUUAGGGCACAAGGAGUCUAAAUAAAAUAUUUGGAGCUCGUGAAAAGGAUUCUAGAGCCUUCCAAAAAUUGGAUUUAGCUCUAGGAAAAGGAGAAUAAUUUCCUGAAAAAGAUGGAAAAUUCUCACAAGGAUCUGGGCAACGUCUAAACGUAUUUUUCAAAAUUUUGCACUCAAGAAAACACCAAGAUGCAGCGACAUGAAUGCACAGACAUAGAACAACAUUAUUUAAUUUAUAAAAGCAAAUAAUUAUUUUUCCUAUACUAAAUUUCCUGUAAAGAAAAAUAAAUGUUGGUAAAAUUUUUAAAAUUAUGAGAAAAUUAUUGUUUAUUUAUUCUUUUUAUUCACAUCCUGAAAUUCGGAAAUUUCAGGGUGUGACAAUCUCUAUGUUACUUCCUGAUGGCAUCAUAAAGGUCGAUCUGGGCCCAAAAUCUUAUAUAGCGUAUGGCUUCACACAAGAGCUUGGCAGAGGGGAUUCGGUCACAAAGCUUCACUGCGAUAUAUCCGAUGCUGUGAGUGAGAUUACCCUAAUGAUUCUAGCACAAUAAUAGUUAGCUUGAGUCGUCCCAUUUUACAGUUUUAUUUUCUAUGCUAAAUCAAAAUUUAGUUACCUGUUACUAAUGAAUCAAAUUAUUAUAACUUCAACCGGAUUCGCCAUGUAUAUAUAUGUUCCAAUAAUCUUGUUUAUGCAAUGACAGAUCAAUGUUCUUAUGCAUACCACCAAGGUUCCCCCUUCUAACGAGCACCAAGAAAAUGCAAUUGUUGAGCUUAAAAGAAAACACAGGGUUCAGGAUAGGAAGGAAUUGGGGAGCCGUGAUGGUGGUGAUGAUACACAAGAUAAGCCAUCACCUAAAUAUAUGGAGGAUAAAGAAGGCGCUCUUUGGGACAUAUUUAGAAGAGAAGAUGUCCCAAAAUUAAAAGAAUAUCUCAUACAACACUCAAAGGAGUUCCGCCAUACCCAUUGCUCCAAAGUAAACAGGGUUAGUACGUGUUGCAGUGUCUACAGAUAGCUAUGCACUGCAAAGCCAUGCAUGAUUUUUUUUUCAUUUUAUAACAUGUCAUUCAUAAUCUAGGUGUAUAACCCAGUGCAUGAUGAGACAUUUAAUCUGAUAAGAGAGCACAUAAGGAAGCUCAAAGAGGAAUGCGGUGAGUUUUAUCAGUUGUAAGUUAAUGCAAUACAUCCAUAAAAAAUACAUAACUUCAUUUCAAAAUUGAUAUUGUUGUACCCAGGAGUAGAGCCUUGGACCAUAGUAGAGAAGCUUGGGGAAGCUGUUUUCGUACCCGCUGGUUGUCCUCAUCAAGUGCGCAAUCUUCAGGUAUACUUUUGAGCAUUUAUACUGUACUUGAUAAUAAGUUUUCUAUUGUCAAUUAUGGUAGUAGUUUUGUAACUGUAUUCAACAAUCAAAAGUUAAUUGCGCUCCUCUAUUACUUUUACAGUCCUGUACAAAGACUGCUCUAGACUUCGUUUCACUAGAAAAUAUUAGAGAAUGUGUACACUUGACCGAAGACUUCCGUAUGCUGCCCAACGUACAUAGGGCAAAGGCGGAUAAAUUAGAGGUAAGAAAUUCAAAUGAUCAUUUAUUUGCUCAUCUUACUUUUUACUGGAAAAUUCAUUGACAGAAUAAAGAGUGGGUUACUAUUGGUCCUAAUACAUUACCCAUCAUUUUGCUACUACUUCCUCGUUCCAUCUACUUUUAUUGUGUGACAACUUGAUUGAUGAGCUCGAUUUGUGCAAGAUGGUACCCUUUUUAGAUUUACAUGGUCAUUUUUUUAAUAUCAUGUGACAAUAUUUUAAGAUAUACAGGGACCUUUUUGACAAAAUCAUGUGACUUUUAAUUGUUUUGUGAGGCCAGCAUGCACUUUGGCCUUACUCGAAAUAACUAAAAGGGUAAGUAAAACAUAUGUAAAAACAACUUAAAAAUACCAACUAACGAUGUGAUGUGGUAGGCAGACUGUCUGAAAUGGCUGAAGUCAUGUGACUUGAGGAUUUUUUCAUAAUUUUCAUGUUCACAUGUGAAAGUUCUAAUAUCACAAUUCUCCAUGCUAUGCCUAGGGUCUUUUGAAGCAGCCUGUUCAAAGUGAUAAUGACAACAAGAAAUUGGAUGACACUCCAAUUGUAGUGAUCUUUUUUACUAUGAUAAUGAAAAUAUGACUUCUAUUUUAGAGGAAACAAUGAGGGUGGGGGUGGGGGGGGGGGCAAACAGCCCACCUAAACAUUUUGAUUUCAAUAAUGUUAGGUUAAACAUUUUGAUUUCAAUAAUGUUAGGUUACACUCGAUUGGCGAGGAAAGCAGGCAGGAACUGUGAUCAGGGGAUGAGAGUUACAUGAGAGGGGACAGAGCGAAGCGUCCACAAGAGAGAUAUGUUACUAUAUAUUGACAACAGCUUGGCACCAAGAAAGGAUAGCAGUAGAGCCAUGUGCGUCUAGGACAGAAGGCGACAUGAUAUGCAGGAGCUUGAGGAUGUCAUCAACGUCGAGCCAUAGCCAAUCGAAUACCAUGUGGUUUUGUUCCUUCUAGAUAACAUGAAGCAUGGCGAGGGAAGCUGUGUGUGCCCAAUGGUAGGGCUAUGACCACCGAACAGCCUACUGAUGAACUCAGUUGCAUCUCGAGUAGAGCUCAAAGUGGAUCUGCCAAGUAAACAAGCAUCCAGAGUGUAGCCAAGCGCAAGCGCAAUUGUAUCUAGGGUGCGAUGCAAGUGCAAGGCACCAUGUGUGUGAGUCCUCCCAUGAUGGUAUGACCUAGAAGGAGAUCUUUGACUUCAUUGGCACAAGGCCCUCCAUUUAAUGUUGAACAUCGACAACUAGCCUUACACGGGAACAUGGUACCGAGGGGAUCUGCCGAGUUGGACAAGUGCCCAAAUCAGCGUAGCCAAGCACAUGCAAUCGAUGAAGGGGUGCACCACAUCCUCAUUGGCACUAGAGCGGAAUGGGCAAGCAACCGUAUCUAGAGGGUGCCAUGCGUGUUCAAGGUGGCCUGGGUGCACGUCCUCCCAUGGUGUAGGACCGAGAAGAAGACCUUCACCUUCAUUGGCGCAAGGCCCUCUGAAUGAAUGUUGGACAUGGAAGCCUUCCGAUGGGAACAUGAAGCUUACCAUAAAAUAGCAUGUUUCCAUGUUGUAACCAAGUCUAACACAAGCAAUUGACCAUGAUUAUAAUCACAGUGGUGAAACCAUGACAAAUGAACAUACAAUAAGAUUGAAAGCCACAACUGCAAGGCAUUGGAUCCAAUAUCCAAUCCUUACGUGUCUACGCCUAUCCUGCACCAUGCACAUUACAUGUGUGCUCGACACACCUAUAAUGCCAUGAGUCUACCCAACACAUUUAUGAUACUCGGAACUCGCCUUCACCAUGACAAACUGAGAAACUAAAUUAGCUAUGAUUUGUAUCUUCUAUCUUUAUUUGGUUCUAUAUCCUACCAGCUGUAAUUUUCCUUGUGUUUAUUGCUUGCUUCCUCUUGUAUAUCCACUUGCAUGAUCAAUGAGGUUGUUAUAUAUGUUAGAGGUUUGUGCUAUCUUGCCUUCGUGGUAUCAGAAGAUUAUGACAACAAAUGGCAGCACAUGAAUGCCACCCUGCCAUCUUGGAUCUAUGGAUCCAUGUCCUCUAGCCAUCCUUGAGUUGAUCAUGGUUGCAGACAUACAAUAUUGACGGGCACUAAAGGAACAAAAAGAUAUAAGAUCUUUAUGUUGAGGCUAAGUUCAAUAACUUUGUCCAAGGCAACCUCUCAACCAAUUCAUGCUUUGGAUGAUGUGGAGCAACUCUCAAUGAAUGUUCCCUUGUAACUAAUCUACAUUAUGGCUCAAAUGCGAAAUUUGUGCUCUCUGCUUGUGAACCAAAAAAAUGAUGCUCUUAUCAUUUACUAGCAUUGCUCGUUAAUUUAUCUCUUGUUCUUGAGGACAGCCAAUGGAAGUUAUAGGAUCUCUUUGAAGGCCACAACGUUUAAUCACUUUGUCUAGCUCAAUGUUGAAACCCUUCAAUGGCACAAAUGCUUAUUUCAAUUAAGCCACACCUGCUAUAGAUACUCUAACUAUAGUAGGAAUGAUGAAAAUCAUAGAUGUCAUGAUAGAGGUAAUGGAGCCCAUGGUAGCACUACCUAGUUUGGCCGCAACAAUAUCAACCUUGCCAGUGGUAGUCUCCAUCCACUCGGUUGCUUAUCUUGGCAUUGUAGCAUUACCUAUUUAAACAAUGGCAACUUUUCAAUAGUGGUCUCCAUCCACCUAGCUUACCUUUGCAAUCCUUCCUUAACCCUUAGGCUGACUAAUUCAAUGUUUAUCAUGCUUAAUGGCCAACAACUGAGCACCUAGCAACCAAGACAACCUCCACUUGUAGUACCAUAGUCGCAAACCAUCAUUGCAUCUAUAUUGCAAUCAUGAGUAUUGAUUCCACUGCUCUCAGCACUAACACAACCUUUUCCUUGACAUCUUCAUUAUAAGACCAACAUUCUCUCUUGAAUGCUUUCAACAUCACAAUUCUCAUGUCGCCACCAUGGAUAGAUAAGUUUGUGGACUUGAGGGCAUAUGCUCACAUGACCUUAGAGACUAGUAACCUUACAUCCUUCUUCUAUUCAAUUACAUAAACAUAGUUGUUGAGAACAAUAUUUACAUCGCCAUUGGUUUUACUGAUCACAUCACAGUUGACUCAACCCCUCCACUUCUCUUAGAUCUCCUCCAAUGGUCGCAUAUGAGCUAGCUCAUAGAAUAUUUUCUCAUAUUUUAAUAGGAGAGAGAGAAGAGCUAUCUCUUGAUCAAGAGAUAGUCUCAUUCACACACUUCAAGAAUAUGUGGGGAUGAUAUGUGGGGUCAUUCAUAUUAUGAGUUAUGUGCUAAGAGCCAGAUCAUCGGAAGGGUUGUCUCCUAGAGUGCUUAGAGCUAGGUACUAGCUCAUGCCAUUGGAGGAGGCCUUAUCUUAAGAAUCACUGCUACUAAAAAAAAUACUCCCUCUCAGCUCAACCCUCCACUCCUAGCUAGCACAUAACUUGGAUAAGGCAUCACUGCCAAAUCAUAACACAAGCCAGCAGUGAUAAGCCUCUAAAGUGUUAUCAAUCGGCAUUGAUCUCCCUUACUAUUUGUGCUGAUAUCUAUUACCACCAAUAUGGAUACUCAUGAAUAUUAUCAUUUUCAUACUACUGAAUUGAAAAGAACAUUGAUACGGGAUUACUAGAUGUUCUUGUUACUCCUAGUAUCACAAAGAAUGCUAUUUCUAUUAGGCAAACUGAUAACCAUUGUUCUACUAAAUUUGAUCCCUUUAGCCACUCUAUGAAGGAUAUGUUGGUGCUUACAAAGCCCAAACAAGUGUGUUGGGCACCUUGGAUUAGAAGGCUAGGCCCGGUAGGGUAACUAGAGGACUGAGUACCUAGUACAGUGUUAUGUUCUGCCUUCCUCUAAUUGGACUGGUAUUUAUAAUUAUAGCCAACAGAUGAGAUAGAGUGAAAGGGCAUGUGAGAAAUUACUGUAUUACCCCCAGUACAGCCGGUAUAUGCUUAAGUCGAAAUUGUUGCUUUGCCCUCGGUGCAGCCGGAUAUGGCCAGCAAGUUUAGUUCAGGAUGAGGCGGGCUCCAGGGACAUUUCCCCUAGGAGAUGGUAGUGGAUGCAAACUCAGCAUCCUGGUCUUCUAGGGCAUAUACAUGGCUUGCCCCAAGGCCCUGAAGCGACCCCACCAAGAGGGCGGCCACUGGUUGGCCCUUCCCGCCCAUGAGGUCACUUAGGCAGCCGAGGGUAGAACCAGGAAGGCGUCAUCCUGGGGGAAAGGAUCCAGUGCUGCAGGCCUAGGGUACUCUAAGGCCUCUUCCGCUUUCACCCUUGCCCCUUCCUACUCCUCUUGGGUUGUAUCCUUCCAUGUGGUCGAUAACCCAAGGAGAAGGUGAUGGCCUCCAUCGAUUCCACGGUGAGGUCCUCCAGGACCCUCGGCCCGUGAUUUCCCCAACAGGAUCUCCACACCAAGAAAACAAUCAUCAAAUGCAAUAGUCAUGGCAACAUCUAUACCCUCUUUAGUGGCUCUCCUCUUCUUAUGCCCUAGUCUCCAUCGCAUCAUGUGCCACACAAUGUCAAUGUUAUUUCAGACAUUCUAGUCAUCAAGCUUUAUUAUCGCUUAGUCCAUUCUUAUGUGGGAAAAUUAUUCUCUUAAUGAGGUUUGAGUUCUCCAUAUCCCUCUUGUCUCAAUAUAUGCAUGGGCAUUUCUAUCAAGAACAUGCUAACAUUUACCUUUGUUAACAUUUUCAUUCAAGUCUCAAUGGGCCCUUUGCUCCCGCUAGUGAGAGAGGGUAGGAGCAUCAUGUUAGUCUAGCACAAGGUUCAUUCCAUGUGUUUGUGCCUAUCCCACUCAUGAUUCUAGAAAUUCUCACAACAUACCCAAAAUGCUAGGAUUCUGCCAUCACGUCAACUAACUAGGAAAGAUUCUUAGUUAUGAUUGUGUAAUGUUUUUUGUUUGUUCUCUUAUGCUACAUGUUGGCACAUCCCUUGUAUGUGAACACAUGUCACCUCCAUUAUAUAUACUUGCACAAAAUGAGAUUGUUUGGUGUUUGAGUUAUUUCUCCUUCACAUACUCGGGUUGUGAGGAUUCAAAACUUCAAAUCAUUGUUUUCUACGGUGUUGGAAACAACACAAAAAAAAACUUCUUGAGCAGUAGAAUCAUUAUUGUAAAUCUCAACUGGUUGUGCCGGCCUCAGCCAUAAUUGCCAAAAGCACAAUCAUUACUGUAGGAACAAUAUAAAUUACACCUGCUCAGCCGUAGAUUUGAGUUCGUAUCAAAGAAUGUCGAAUCAUGUUUAAAUGAUAAUUGCGUUCUUCAUAAUACUAUAACCUCAACUAUUCUGAAUGGCAUUUCAUUUUUACUGAAGUGUUUACAUUUGUGUUACUUCUGAUUUUGUAUUGUUGCGCGUGCGUGUGUGUGAUAUAACUCUUCUUUCUUCCGUAUCUAAUUUAGUUCUCACCCCUUAUCGUGGUUAUUGAAUAAAAAUGUUUAUGGAAUUAUAAUUGAUUACUAAUUACUUAUGUGAUGCAGGUGAAAAAGAUGAUAGAUUAUGAUCAUGCUGUCAAGACGAUGAAAGACCGUCUGCGGCCUAUUUUUCUCCUCACAUCAGUGAUUAAAGGAAAAAAACAAUGUAAAACUAGGAGGAAAAAAAUAGUGUGCAUUCCAUUUGAUCGAUAAAUUAAACAGGUAUGUAUUUGCUUGUGUGGAACUGAAUCACCUUACCUCAUCACCCGUUGAUCCCCGCAAGAUCUCAUCUAUGCAAAGCUCUCGUUUAUCAUCAUCUGAUCCCCAAUAAACUGUAUCAUACUCCGAAAAGGAUGGUCCAUCUGGGUGGCACCAGCGAAGAAAACCAUUGCUGCCUCAGCAGGUUGCUUGAUCCCGUAUAUGGGCGCACAAAAAUUUAAAACCAUUUGUCGAAAUUAUCGAUGAGGAGUUGAGGACAAGCGAAUAUGGUUCUUUUUUUUUUCUAAAACAACUAACAACUGAAAAAUGAAACCUCUUAUUCUAAAAAAGUGCAAAAUAUCUGCAGCUCUGUAGUACCCGCCCGAAAUGCCCCUGCCGGCUAAUAUCUCAGCGCGCGCGUUUAUCCCUUCGGCGCGGCCGCGACGUGUGGCGCAGGCCCCGUUGCCGAUGAAUAUCUCCGGCGCCCUUUUCGCCUUUAUCCGCGCCUAUAUCGCAUUCCGGCAGGUCCACGUUGCGUCUUCGGGGUCGCCGGUGGUUUCGCGAUUUUUUGGUCAUGGAGUGCCGUGUCGUGCUUCCGCUCCAGGGCGCCGGGGUCGUCGGGGCCCGUCCACGCGUUGCCGUCCCCGUGCAGCAGGCGUUCUGGAGGACGGCGGAGCGGCGGCUGCGGCGGCUUGCGGGUGCCGUGGCGCCGACGAGGUGCAGCAAGAUGUACGUCCCCGGUAAGCAUUGGCUUCCACUGCACAUACUCUGUUUCUAUACUCCAUUGCUGGUAGCUGCUGUAAGCCUGUAACUCUGUAAGUGAUUUCACUGCACUGUAAAGCGAAAUCAAAACCCUGUUCACGACAUAGCUAGGAAGAACGAUAAGAAUCUCUCAUGAAACAACUUUCCUCAAAGUAAUACAGAAUGUUCUAAAACAGGGGAACUGGGCCAGUGGCCUGGUUUAAGUGUGUGUUUUGCUUAUUUUCGACGUGGGUUUACCGCCUGUCGCUGUCCUUGGCAAUGGUUAUUCAGG
RNAcentral lists this long non-coding RNA (32202 nucleotides) under Setaria italica (foxtail millet). RNAcentral's name for it is "long non-coding RNA (SITA_LNC004678)". Lineage: Eukaryota; Viridiplantae; Streptophyta; Magnoliopsida; Poales; Poaceae. The record is from RNAcentral.